Gallus gallus (chicken) is the source of this 24494-nucleotide long non-coding RNA. RefSeq lists it as uncharacterized. The transcript is spliced from 4 exons. NCBI's taxonomy places the organism in Eukaryota, Metazoa, Chordata, Aves, Galliformes, Phasianidae. The record is from RefSeq and is a predicted model, not a curated record.
ACAUAAUGAAAGCAUGAAAGCAGAUUCACACGAUGGAUGAACAUGAAAAGCCAAACAUAUCGAUCACUCCGUACAUCGCUGGCAACCAGCUGUUCUGGCAGCAGUCUUACAAGGGCUUUGCUGCAGUCAGACACGACAUAAUGAGGAGCAAGCAGAGGAGCCUGGACCGGAUGGUGGACUCUGUCCAGCAAACGCGCUUGCUGUGUGCCUGCAACCUGCUGCACAGAGGCAGAGAAGCAGUGGCAGUGCUGCAGGGAGCAUCAGGACGGCAGAGCUGCCUGAAGGGCCCAACCAUCCCAACCCUCUGCCUCCCUCGGGCUCUGAUCCACGACUCCCGAGGCGGGUGGUGCUGAAGGACUUGCAUUGCCAACUUGAGGCAGGACUGGUGUUAAGAGGAUCUCACAGCAGAGCGAUGAGCUGGAACAUCAGCAGUGCCAGAUCAGCAUCUUUUGUCCCAUCAGGUAAGCUGACAUCAUAUCCCAAGGACACCUUUUUGUAGCUCUCCAGCAGGUCCCUGUGUUGCAAAGCCACGCUGCGAGUGUUACAUGUGAUGCUUUCAGCAGGUAAUCCCAGAUUUCUUGGAGAGAGAGCUUUAGCAGUAUUACUGCGUGACACAAUUUGAUAUUGAGGUGAAACAAAUCCUUUCUGGAUCUUCGCUCCUUGAAGCGGGGUGUCAGCAGCAGCAGCAGACUGAGCAGUCGCCACUUGCAGCCAAUUUACUUGAGCAAGGUUUUGAAAUAACUUUGUGACAACCUCCUAAUGAAAGCGAGGACAGCACUGUUCUAAGAAGUCUAAUUGAUUGCAAGUGUCCAGCGCUUCUCAGUCCCGGGGAAAGCAUUGCAAGAGCCAUAAAUAAGCACUGUAGCUCAGGGCUCAUACAUCAUUUUAAACAUUCACCUUUUGGAAAAGAUGGGAAACGGUGAAAUAAACAGGGGCUGUAAUUCUGGUGGUUUAGCCACAUUGGAUUUAUUAAAUAAAGAUGUGGAGAAAAGUCCACAUCUCUUGCAAAGUCAGUGCGUAUGGCAUAAAAGAAUGAGUGAGGCAGGGUGUAUAUAUGUGGGUCUGCAUGCACGUGGUUUGGGAGGAAUGAGGAAAACAAGGUAGAAAUAUGGAGCUGUGUAGGAGCUGGCACCGGCACAGGCAUUAAGAACACUGGGAGUCCUACCAGCGCUUCAGCAAGUCUACUGAAAUGACCUUGAACAUCCCAAGAAGCACAGAUUCGCUACUGAAGCUUCUUGAAGACAAAGAUAAUGCUGCUAUGUCUUCUCUAAUUAGAUUUUUAAGUGCUUCAGGGUGAGGACUGACUUUUCACCGGGGAUGCAACAGCAUCCAGAAGAAUGAAGCUCUGAAGCACGACAGAGCAUCUGACUUUAUUAUUUGAAUAAUGGCCAAAUCAUAAAUAGCAUAAUAAUAAGAUGAAAAUGAUAGGAUGGAACAAGAAGUAACACUACUAAUAUGAUAAUAGCGGUAAUUACAGCCAUGUUAUUAGUUAUAAUUAUCUGACUGCGUUCAGGCCUGAUCAGAGGGUUGAGUUCAGCAGGGAAAUGUGUCCAAAUGUACCAGGUCAUGGCACCUACAUGUGGGGAGUCCCAGGCAGGAGCUGGGGGCUGGGGAGAUUCCAUCUCUGUGCAACUUGUCCCCAAAUGUCUGUGUGCAUUUGGAUGUCUCAGUGUCACAGCUCUGGAUAGGAAGCUAGCAGCCAGGAGAUGGGGUCAGAUUCUGGUGUCUGAAUCAGAGGUGUGGGUGACUCAAAUGGGCCACCUGGGGUUCCCUCUGGUAAGCCCACGUCACCUCUCCAAAGAAACCAAACUAAAGAAGUAAUUUAAGGUUCUUUGGUUGCAGUGAAUAGAAAUGGGGAGUUUCAAGGCUAAUUCAUCAGAUACAAGCAUGUCUGAACUUAGACCAUGUGUCUAAUAUGUCUCCUGUGCAACCUGGAACAACGGUAGUCAUUUUUUUUUUGUUCCUGCACUGCCACGCCAUCACCCAACUGUUUCUUUUCCUGCAGCUACACAACACCUAUACAACAAAGUUCCGACUUUUCCUGGAUUCAGUAGGUCUUACUGAAGUACCAUUUAUCUAUAAUAACAAAUAUUACAAACAAAGCCUUCCUUAGAUAAGUACUGAGCAAUCCUGCCCUCCGGUUUCAUUUGAAGAAUGUCUUUUAAGCUUUAUGUUGGCAGUAGAUAAAAUAAUCUGCUACCGAUCUGUGAGCACUGGCUGCAAUUUAUAUCUACCAGUGCAGAGGUUGGUUGAUCACCAAUACAGGCAGUAACCUGGCACAGCUGGAAAGUGCAGAAUAAUAUCAGGUUGGAUAUUAGGAAGAAAUUCUUCUCAGAGAGAGCGGUGUUGCAUUGGAAUGGGCUGCCCAGGGAGGUGGAGGAGUCCCCAUCCCUGGAGGUGUUCAAGAAAAGAGUAGAUGUGGUACUAAGGGACAUGGUUUAGUGGGCGUGGUGGGGAUGGUUUGAUGGUUGGACUUGGUGAUCUUAGUGGUCUUUUCCAAUCUUAAUGAUUCUACGAUUCUAUGAACUGAGAGUGGCUUCCUGAAAUGCCUCCUGUAACGUAGAGCAAUGGCAGUCAUUUCUUUUUGCUCCUGCACUGGCAUGUCAUGGUAUCAACCAACAUAGGGAGCAGUGAUGAGAGUUCUCCUGAGAUAUUUCCCUUUCUGGAGAGUCUGGGAACUCCAAAAGCAAAUUCAUGUUGAACUACUGGAAACAAAGAAGUAUCAGCUAGGAACAUCCCCCUAUGAAAGUCACAGCCAGCCACAGCUUUAUUCCUGUUAUUAUUUUAUUUUGGAUUUUUAGCUGAAAAGUGAUUAUCUUAAAAAAAUUGGAGACAAUCAGAAGUUUUCAGAAGACUCUAGCUGGCUUGUCACUUCUUACUGUCCUUGUAAGAGCUGGCAGGAGGGUGUAUUCUGUUAACUGUAUGAGUAGGAACAUGGCACUUGCUUCUUCAGUACAGACCUUCAAAAAUCUUCUACCGCUUGCCCUUUGCUGGAGGUGGAAUUGUCUCCUCACCAAGAGCCUGAAGGUGCUUCAACGCCAAGUGCCACUGUCAUGGAGGGGAUGUGACUGAUGCAGCAGCAUCAGAGAUGUUGUACUUGCAUGGAUGCUUCUCAGACUUGCUAUGGAGUGUCUGCCACCAGUAGUUUUCCCUAUACAAACCUCACGUGGAAUCAAGGAUAAGGCUAGCAAAACCAUGACCUGAAGAUUCCUCUAAAAGGUAUAUUUUUAGGGGCCACAAAGCAGGCAGGAAUCUUCAGUUCCAUGCGACUCCUCCACUAAGAAGCCCAUUACCCAGCACUUACUGCAAACUAGCGGUACAUGUGGAUGCACAUUUACUUAGCCUUUUCCUCUUUGUUCCUUCUUUGAGCAAACACUGACUUCAGACCAAUCCAUCAAAGAUUCAUAGUUUAUACUUGGAGAUCACUGACAGUUAAACUUACUGUACUAUGCUGGUACCCCUUCAUAGGCUGAUACACCUUUUCCUCUCCCGCUGCACAAGAAGAGAGGAAAUGGGGCAAAUGUGAUGGAGUUCUGUAGGGAAGGGCUUCACUGGAAGCCUUGGAAACUGGGAAGUAAAACCAUGUAUGAUACAGAAAGUACUAUGGGAAGGCAUCCUUUUUCAUCCAAUGAUAAAUCGAGACUUUGAUGAAAGAAAUGUAUAUAUAUUUUUUCAGAAGUGUAUUUUAAAUGAAAAUUUGGAACUUUUGCAUUCAAAACUUAUUCUGUUUUCAGUGGUUUUACUCCAGUUUUGUAACUUUAUUCAGAAAGCUGCUUUUGUUUUGUGCUUGUGGGCACACGUGUAUUUGUGAAUAACUGAUGUUGUCUAACUGGGAUUAUUCAUACUGUUAACCUCCUCCACAAAACUACAAGAUUGACAUAAGUACGUUUUUGCUCAAUUUUAAAUUGGGUUGACCCCAAAUCACUAUGGAGUGAAGACAGCUUUGGGACUAAAUAGAAUGAUGUCUUUGGAAAUGGAGAACAUGUUAGUUAUGUUGGUAGAUGGAUUUCCUGACAGGAGCUUAAACAGAGCACUUAAGUACUGUCUUCAGCAUCUUAUUGUCUCUGAUGAGAUCAUGAUUCAGACUACCCAAGCAGUAUCUCAAGUACGUGAACCCUCAGGGAGAAGAACUGGCUCCAAGGACAGCAUUUUGAUGCAUAGGUUAGCAGUGAAUUCAGGUUUAAUUAGCUUGUCUCUGCCAACUUAAAACAUAUCAUCAAAUAAGAUUACAAGUAGGAGGUAAAGACGGCCAUGCUCAGGUUUACAACUUGAGCCACAGACAAGAGUGACCACACGAAAAUAAAUUCUGCAGACAGAUGUAGCCAGGAGAAGGAUCAGCCCCCCACAAAUAAUGUACCUGCCGGGGAGAUGCCUAAUUGAGCCAUAACAAAGCCAUUUGUCAUGACCACGGUGUAUUAACUACUUGGACAAAUGAAAAUCAUAGAAUCAUAGAAUCACCAAGGCUGGAAAAUACAUCCAAGAUCAUCAGUCCAACCAUCCACCUAUCACCAAUAUCUCCCACUAAGCCAUGUCCCUUGGUACGACAUCUAGCCAGGCUCUACCACAGGUCAGUCUUUCUCCCCCUUUUUUUAGGGCUUCAUAUUGUUUCAUACAACUCCUGGCAGGUGCCUGAGGCUCACUGGUCCUUCUCAGGCUCUCUUCCAGCCCACAGAAUGAUGGUGUUCACCUUCGGGUUUUUGUUUCAUUUUCAAGCUUUGCUUUUUAAAUCACUGUUUUAAUGUUUUUUGGAGGAUUGCAACCUCAAGAGAAUGAGCCAUCCUGAGCUAGAUAAACAGUUUACAAAGUGCAUCAGCACUGCCAAGUACUUGCUGCAAGGAGCUUCACAAAUCCCUGCUAUUGCAGGAAAUCCAUGCAGCUACUAAGUGUCCACAUACAUAUUAGCUAGGUGUGAAAAAACAGAAUUCCAAUGACAUUUCGAGCAAAUAAUAUAAGGGACUGAGCAAUACUGCAGCAAAAAAUUCAACCCAUGGUACAAAACAGUUAUGAGAAACCACUGUGUUUAGCUCCAUGCUUCCCUGGAUGCUAGAGGGGAAUACUUGAAUAGCAGAUUUCCCCAGUUACGAUAGCCAAGGCCUCAAUCUAAGUUUCCGUAGCAUUUUUGUAUUGUUAUGACCUGUUUCAACAUGGCAAUGACUCUGAAAACUUGAAUUCCUUGGGCAAGCUAUCCCAAAGAGUUAUUAUUAUUGUUUCUGUUAUUGUUGUUGUUAUCAUUGCUGUCAUUAUUAUUUCCGCAGAGAAAUGUUUCAUCCUUCUCCACGUAGAAAUUAGCAAGGAAAGGGUUUGCUUGUAUUUUCAUAACUUCACCUGUCUGUUUUGAAGCAGGGGGUUGACGCCCUGUAGGGCACCCAGUAGGAGUUUCUCUUUUACUAUUUUUUAGUGCUACAUGACACUGCAAAGUGGGUCUGAAAUUCCAGGACCAGAGCUACAAAAGCAUUCUGCUCUCAUACCUACAGCUGAAGGCAGUGAGAACUCAAUUGUGAAUGGAAGUGCCAGAAAUGCAAGCAGAAGUAUUUUGUGCAGGAACUGCAAUACUUGACAUAGAGAAAGGAGUUGGUGGAGGGAACUCAGCUGAUAAAACAGGCAGGAGUACGUGAGAAUGUUAAAAGUGAAAAUCUCUAAUUUGGCAUUAGUAAAUUGUCUACAGUGACAACUUUGGCUUUAAUCUGAGCAGACCUGUCUGGCUGUAAUAAAAAUACCACUUCUUCCCUUAAAAAUGGUGUGAAAGAAAGUGAAAAAUACCAUGGGAGAAUUAAUACACUAUGAUCAUCCUAGAAAGGAUGAUGAGGAAAUUGAUAUUUCUGUACUCAGUGCAGAGCAUGGACAAUAUGCAGUAAAGCAAUGCCUGGCACCACAAAUACAUGGAGAGCCUAAUGAGAUACUGAGCAGGUACCCAAUCAGAAAUAGCAUCAGUGUUGUGCCCAGGAUGAGACCAGAGCUGUGUGCAACCAUGUAAAACCCCAAUCAGAAUAUUACAUAUAAAUGAGCCCAGUUACCUUAGCUCUGUCACACGCACUUGGAAUUAUGACCUUGAUUUUUUUUUAAUGCAGUGAUUGAGGGUGAAAAAAAAUGACACGGUCAAGCCUCUGUGCACCUUUACUGGGUUUCACAACAGAGACUGAAAGUGUCUGCUUUUAAAAGAUGAGACGUUACGCCUUGACUACAAAGAGCACCUUGCUGUUGACAAGUAGCACAUCCAGCUGGCUUUAUGGAAACUCCAGGUUCAGAUUGUUUUUAGCAACAUCUGAAUUCCCAGACUGCAUAUUGGCAGCCUGCUGUUCACCCAGAUCCCCGAAGGCUCUGCCUCCACACUGGGUGUUAGGGGAGGGGGAAAAAAAGAGCUCAAAUACAAGAACUUCUGGGGAUGACUUUUGUUGCACCAGGAAAGUGAUAAGAAAGCUUCCUCCCCUUCAAAGGAUUGAAAGGAAAUGUGAAAAUAAAUUGGGCCUUGGUCAUAUUGUGAGAUAAGUCCAACAGGUAAGAUCGUCAGGGAAGUCUUCAGAUGAAAACAGGAUCUCCCAUGUUCCUAUGACCCUGACUUCUUUAGGAUAUUUUUGUAAGUAAUUGUAUUUGUUAGCAGUAAGAUUUUGGUUUGGUAAUUCUUUGCAUUUUAAGGAAAGUUAGUAGCGAUUACAAGUUUCCAGGCUGGUCAUUUCAUGAAAAACAAAACAAACCAACCAACCAAACAAAAAACACAGAAAAAACUUCAAUAAGAAGAGAAGAAAAUCACUCGGGCUGCUGCUCAUUCUCAUCACCUUUGCUUGAACUGUCAGUCAAAACUGGCCAUUGGCACUGAAAGGGAUGCUUGACCAUAUGGACCAAUUUUAGCAUCUUCUCCAAGUGGAAGUGGAAGGCAGUGUACGUGGCCAGGCUGCUUUGCCAUGACCCAGCAGUGCCCUCCAAGCAUCCUGGCUUUCAAACUAUCCUGUCUGUCAUCUUAUUGCUCAUUUUGAAUGAUGAUAUUAAUAGAAAUUAUGUUAAUUUUGCCAUCAAAUGCAAUUAAAGUCAGACUAAAAAGCACCUAGUGAAAUUUGCAAUAGUGCUCUGAAAAUGCAGCCAGAUGCUCUUUGCACUGAAGUUACCUAAUGUCUUAGAAAUUUCAUUACUUUGACCCACCUUUAUUUACUGACAUUAAGCCCAAGUAUUUGAUGCUUCUGAAGAUGAGAUAAAGGAGAAGAGCCCCCUACACUACCUAUAAGGCCAACUCCAUGGACAUGCUGAUUUCCUUAACAGUACUGUGAGUCUCUUUGUGUGUACGCUAAGUUGCGUUGUGCCUGUCAAUCCAACAUAAAGGUCAAUGUACCAAAGAGGUACAUACAUGGACUUUCACAUUUCCAUCUUCAAGAGAUGUUUUAGGUGAGUUGAAGUCCCGCUCUGCACUGCUGUUGGGCUUGUAAGACCAUGGUGUCUGAUGGGGAAGGGCUACAUGUAAGGGUUUUCUUUGUUCUUCAGUAUUCUGAUACAGGGUGUAUGGAAGCAGGUCUUCUUGCCUCGAGGCACUGCUCUUACAAAGGGGCAGAAGGUCUCUGGAUGCCUGUCUCACCCCGAAGACACCACUCUGCAUGUAGCUGCCCAUCACCACCCAGUCAUGAGGUCCUGCUGCUUCUUGUGGACCAGAUGGCAUGUAGCUACCAAUUUUUUUUUACAGGUUUCACUAAAAACAUGGCUACUGCCAGGUAAUGCAGGUUCUGCUGAAAACCUAAUGCAAAGCAUUACAAGUCCUGUAUGACUUGAGCUAGAUUUUCAUCUGUACACUUUAGAGGUAGUCACGUAGCUAAGUGACAUUGAACUGAGAAAUCUAUAAAGUGGAGUGUCUUUGUUAUCCAUCUCAUGCAAGUAGUAAUGUCAUCUUUAGCUCUUAUUCGUGCCAAUUAGCUAAAACCCCAUGGAGGAGGAAUAGAUAUAUAAUUCCAGCUGGAGCUGAUGCGUCAUGUGUGGCUGCUGCCACAGGUCCUCAGCUCCGACUCAUCAUUCAUCUAACUAGUCACAGAGGUGCUCUGGCAGUCCCAUCCGGAUGAUGCUGAUUUAGACCCUUUGGUCGGCUGAAGCUGGUAAUAAAUCAAGUCCAUAAUGAGGUGAAGUUGCUGUUGGAACAUGCUAUAACUACAUCAUCACUCCAAAAGGAAUUAUCAGGUAAAAUAGCUGCUUGAUAUCUGGUAAUUUUGCUGAGAGCCUUUCUAAUUGGUUUACUUAUUCGAUGACCUUGCAUAAUUUAUAUAUAUAGAAGGUUUGUUGAUCUGAGAUAAUAUGGACUGAAUUUUUCCAAGUCAUUUAUAAAAGCAUUGGGAUAACAGUCCGUAGCAGCACUCAGAACAGAUCUUUGUUCUCCUGGGACAAGGGGUACUUCAUAGGGAUUUUGCACUCAUGCACCACGUUUUUUCUUGAAAAUAAAUCCCAAAGGUGGUUACAGUAUCAAUACUACACAAUUCCUUUCCCCUUCACUAAAAUAGGGCAGCCCCAAUAAUAUACUUCAUAUCACAGUGGAUUAAGGGCUAGUAAUCCCAUUGCUGUCUAGGGGAUUUAAACACCUUGAUUGCCAAUGAUACCACCAGAAUCCAAAUAACAGAAUUUUUUCUGAAUGCUUCCACACUGCUUUUGCCUACAGCAUCCACCACCAAACCUUAAUUUUCCUGCUUUUCAGCCCACAUGUUUCUUUCCUAAUUUAUUUUAGUUCCUGAUUACAUCUGCCUGUAUCAUUCUAUACGUUAUUUAAGUAUGACAUUUAUUGUUGAAUAAGCCCUACUCGUACAUGCAGUCAUCACUCAACCAUACUAAUGAGAGGCUAACUACAAUUUGUAAGCUGCUGCUGCUCUUUCAGCACUGUAAUUACAUCACUGAUAUUCAACCUUUUUUUGCCCUGUGAGCCACAAGGCCUAUUAUGUGGUCACUAAAGAGCUGAAUGCCUUCUCCACAAAAUGGGAGUAUUUCUGAACAGGCGCCAAACAGUUGGAGGACAUAUGGCCUCAGCCCUAUUGACAUUUCCUUUGCUCUGAAAUAGCACUGAUUAUCCCUCCAAGUGUUCUGCAGGCUGUGUUUUUUCCCAGAAGCUCUUCUGAGUGCCACGAGGGCUCCUCAGAUCUCCUGCAAUGAAGAUGAGGAGGCCCCAUGGCCAGGCCUUGCCCAAGGAGGAGCAGGUGGCAAAGGGCCUCAUCCAGCCACCAGAGAAAGCUCCUCAAGGAUCCUACAAAGGCCUGGAGAGAGCAUGCUGAGAAAGGAGACUUCUCGAGUCCUUAACCCCGGUGUGAGGCCUCAGUCACAUUUUUGCUCCCAGCUUUCGGUGUGGAUGCAACUAACACAUGGCCUGCUCUCCAUGGGAUGCUUAAAAGGAGAGUGAGGAGAGGUGGAGCAAAUGCUGGCCUUUUUUAGCGCUCUUUUACAGCUCUUUCUGUUAUCUGAAAUGCUGCAGUGUAUCAUUAUCUGUUGAUUGCAGUCUUCUGCCCAGUUUUUGCUCCUGCCCAGUCAGCACCCGCCUCCAAGACAAUCUGAAUUAAUUGUGUGAAGGAUUUCAGCAACAUUCAAUGAAAACAAGACAGAGUAGGGCUGAUUCUGAUCCCAGGCAGUCUGAGGUGGCAAAGCUUUCAAGGCUUGAUGGAUUUUAUGGCCCUUUACCCCAAGGAAGGGGAAAGACUGUGUCUACACCUCACUGUACCGCACAUCUAGCAUUUCAUGAGCACAGAACACACCCGGUGGGUGCCAUGAGUUCUCUCAAGCAAUUCUUUCUUUGACCUCUAAGGAUAUUCCUCACCUUCUUUACGAACCUAAGACAUCCACCAUUUUUGCUGCAGUACCCCAUUUUGUGCCCACUGCUGUUGAUACUUCAUGCCUGCAAUACUGAAGCAUGUGCUGAGGAGUAAAUCAGACCUACCAGGUGACUGCUGCCAGGACAACCAUUCAUCCCUUCCCCAAGCACUGGCAGUACAUGUGACUGCUUCCUCUACCUUGCUGUUCUCCAUGGCUUUUCAGUGGCGUUGGCAGAGGUGUGGAAUACUUAUCAGUUAACUCUAUUGACGCAUUAAGUGGAUGUUAUCCAGAUCCACUGACUAAAUACAAGUAUGACUAUUAAUCGUUUCUUUCCCUCAAGGAAGGGAGCCCUGUCAAUUUGUCAGCUAACGCCUUGCCACCUGCCCGACAAGCAGCAUCCUUAUCUUUGUGGAAGUAGUAGUAGAAAUAAUAAUAAUAGCAGAAACAACAACAAUGAAUAAUCUCUCUAAUAUCUCUCCUUGAAUAUAGUGUUAGGCUCACAGGUAAAAAAGGAUGCUGCUUGCUGGAUCUCUUGAUUUGGCAAACCAAAUAACCGGAUCAAAGGAAAGGCUGUUGCACACAUGCCUCAUACUGGCAGUGUGAUAUCUCCAUUGGUGUUCGCCUCUUCCCCACAAUACCUGUGUUGUUUGGCUUCAUCGAGAACUGUGAAAGCGAAGCAGGUUUCCAGCCCCAGCUACACAACCAUGGCUAGAUAUCCUUAAUUCUCCACAUCUGCCCCCUGCCUACAAAGGAGGUGAUCAAAAGAGCUUUUGCACAGCUACAGGAAAUUUUCAGACACAGAAACACAGGGAAGACAUUUCAGCACUGUGCAUACAUUGUAAGUACUAUCAUAUUGCCUUCUCCUCCUUUCUUCCUCCCACCUCCCAGCUAAGCAGAAUUCCACUGUUCUCAAGGUUCACACGGUUGAGGAAAAAUAAAAAAUCUGAUUUUUCCACUGAGUGUCAACAUAGAUUAGAAGCUACAGUAACAUCUUCAGCAUGGGCUGAUAAUAAAUGAACUCAGAAGGUUCAAGUGAUUCAUAUUUGUCAUUUGAAAACGUACCAGACCAAAUCUCAAGUUUGAAGGAAAAGGUCAGAGAAAAAAAUCCAAUCUAUUAAAGCAGAGCAAAUUGUUAGCAAGAGCCAGAUUGGAGCUUUUGUUUUUAAUUAAAAAUCAUUUUAUUUGUCUAUCAUUUGCUUCUAUUGCCCAGCAGAUUUUAUUUGUCGUUUUAAGAAGUAAAUUGAAAAUUUUCUAAAUGUUCUCCUGCCUAGAACUCCCAUUUCUGCCCAUGUAGUGCACAGUGGAGCCUGUUUGCAUCUGAUUUAAAAUCCUCAGGCUCAGCCACUCUUUGGGGAUUGCACUGCUUUUAUUCACGCGCUCCCAGACACGAGGCUGGAUGGAGUUUCCUGUGCUGCUCCCUCUCCAGCCGCUGUGCUGGCAAGCAGGUUAAACUGAAGCAGUGGUGCAGGGAGAUCUUUAAGCAGGUGUUCAUAAAUUGUUGUAGUUCUGCUUCCACUGCGGGGGCUAAUGAAGCCCUCUGGGUUGGCGUAUAAUGAAAUGCAGACUCCCCGUACUCCCCAUGUGCGGAAGUGAACAAAUUCAGAUUCCCUUUUUACUUUCCCAGAUAAUAACUCUUUUGUUUUAACUAAUCUUUCACUUUCAGGGGUGAUUAGAUGGUUGAGCUGAAUGAAUCUUAUUACUUAAAGCCUCUCCUGCCUGUUUCUCAGUGUGUGUUCUGACUCAUGUACCUAUUUUGAUGUAGAAAUUAUUUAGUAAAGGUAUUUUUCCUCCACCUUUAAAAAUAGCAGCAAGCAGGUUUUUGGACUGAGCUUUAUCUGUGUGCAUGGCCAGACACUGGUGCCGAGCUGAGCAAAAGGCAGGGAUGCUAAAAUGCCCUUGCAGAUGAUAUUUGGCCACUGAAUAAGAGAAUGCGAUGGAAAUAUGGAUCUUUAAAGCAUCAUAAAAUGGAUACUAAGCUGAAAAGUACAGCCCUAAUGCAACAGAGCAUUCCCUCACAUCCUCAAGCUUGCAUUCACUGGAUUCAAUGGGACUGUCCCCAAAGGAGCCCAGUGUGGUGCGGCUGUGGGGCAUGUGAUGUGGGGUCACCAUGUGCCAGAGCAGAGGAGAAAGCAACACUCUUCCUCCUUCAGCUCCCAGGAAAUAGGUGCUGGGAUCCAGCUCAUCAGAUCAUGGCAAGGGAGAGGCUGCAGCUACAGCGUAGCCAGGAGCAGAGUGUGCCACGUUCCUUAAUAUAAAUACCACUAACGUAUGUGCAUAGGAUUUUCAUUGAGUUCCCCGUGUACAAUACACCCACGUACUCAAUGUGAAGCCAUUACCUCUGCCUCAUUCUCCCAGUCCAGCCUACGCUCCUAUUUAACUUAGUGCUCCCUGGCCAAGACGCUUCUUGAAUUCCUUAUUCUCCCUGCAAGCUAAUGAUCUCCUGGAGCAUGAUCCAGCAUCUUCCUGACAUAUCUUUCUCCAUGCCAGAAUGCCUGAGAUUCAGCUGCACAAGUAUCCACGUGAAGCUGGAGUCAACUUCCAAAAAGAUCUGCCAUAAAAGAAAGCAGAUAAAGAAGAGAGCAGGGAGGGAGCAGGAGCGGCAGCCAGCAAUUUUCCUGUGCCCGAUGCAGGGGAUUUAUCUGCAUUUCUAGCUAAUAAAAGACAUUAAUUGAUUCACGUGUUUUACGGCUGCACACAGAGCUAUUUCUGGCUGGGAGGAGACACUCUUAAAUGGAAUGAGUCAGACCAGACCUGUUAUGUCACCCUGGGACCCUGGGACCCUGGGAAGAUUCGUUAAUAGCUCUGAACAAAUCAAGUUGCUUCACAGGGCUAUUUUCUUCUCAGACAUCAAAAGGAGAGGGAAAGUAUAGCAAUUCUAAAGGCUGAAAAUAACUUUUUUACAUGGUCCUUUGCAUUUGGCAAAUAGCAACAGGAUAAUCAAAGAGCUUUGCUCUCCACAAGGCGCUUGCAUUGAAAUCUCAGCAGGAUUUAUCAGCCCAGCCAAACCUAAUCUCCAGAGACACGGCUCUGAGCUGAGCAAAGUCCAGGCAGGUCACAGCUCCUCAAUUCACUUCCCAGGAUUUCUUCCAGAUUAACUUCGCAAAUCAAACGAUUGCGCUGAGAGUUUUACAGGAAGGGAAGUCUGUAGUUUUGCCUCUUAAAAACACAUAGAAAACAGAUUUUCUCUCUUCAACCCGCCUCCCUGUGAUUUCCUAUAUUUUCUGUUUUUCCAGACAGCAGUAAAGCUUGUUUAAAAUUCAAAAUGGUGCCGGAAACGAAACCAUUUUAAACCAGAAUUUGUCUACAGCAAAGAACUAAGCUGCAGCUGAUCUGCUUCAUGUUCUUGGUCUCCUUCUGGGUCACAACGCCUUACCAGAUGACAGCUCCAGGAUGUGACACACGGUGGCAGCUGAGAUGUUCCCUAUGGGAAGGAGUCCAGCCAAGGACUCCACAGAUACGGUGGUCCCAAGUGGUGAAGGGGAUAUAAGGAAGCCCAGGUGGAUCUUCAGCCCAUCAACUACAUUUCCACCUUCAAUGUGGAAAGUGAAUCCGAUAGUUUUAAACUGAGAAAUAUCUAUGCUUUGUUUUUCACCAGAAAACCAAAAAUAUCCAUGGAAAAUGUUGACAAAUGGAAAGCAUUUGUCAUUUCUGUUUCUGUUUCCCUGGUGACAAAAAAAAAAUAAUAAAAUGGAAUUUCCAACAAAGACGAAGCCUGCAGCUCACAGUCUUGGCCAGUUCAUCCGGUAUUUGUCCUUGCCCUUACCUUAAUAGUCCAAAAUAGCAUAAUGGUGGUAAAAGCCUGAAAAAUGGCUCUCACUUGUCUACUAAGCUGGAGCUUGUUGGCCCUUGUUACUGCCUGUCCAUGGCUGUUCUCAAUGGGAUAAGUGCCUGUACUGGCCUCAUCCUGUUUAGAAAGUGGUAGCUGUGCUUUGUUGUCAUGUCAGCUCUUGCUAGGGAGACAGCAUUGCUCUUUGUGGUUGAUAGGACAUGUUUUCUGUUGUUUUUAUCAGGCUUUUUUUUGGCAUUGACAUCUUGAAUAUUCACAGCUCUUGGACAUCUGAGGCGUCCAUCAAAGGACUCCUCUCUUUGUUGUAGAUAUGCAAAGCAGAAGCCUACAUGUUCUGAACUUUCCUCACACUGCGUGGUGAGAGUAAUUUAGUAGCCUAGGGUUUGUCAAUCUGCAAGCAGUCCUGAUGAGACAGCAUUAGCUGAUUUAAAGGGGGUGGGGGGAAGUACAGGCUUCCUCACAGCCUUACACCCUUACAGUUCAGACCAAUCUGCCCCCAGCCAUGCUCGCAUUGCCAUCUUUCUUAUGGAAAAAGCAAACUAAGGAACAAAUAUCCUAAAUGAAUUCCCUUGAAGUCACCACUGCCACGGAGCCUGAUGGAGGAAGGCUUUGUGCACCAUUUGCACAACUGCCGGGUUGCAGUUUUUUAGCUCUCCUUCUCUAUAUUAGAAAGAGAGUGAGGAUGUAUUUGGAGAAAGCCACCUUCUGUGAGAGCAACUUGUGUUGACUUACGCAGAUAAAGAAAUUCAGUCUCUGUGUGCUCCAGCACCUCAACACCUUGCAAAGCCCCAUUCUCCAGGUGGCUUCAGCCGGCUGGCUCCACCAGCCCAAAUUUCCUGUUUUCACACAACAAGAAGGGAUUUUGCUGUUCUCCCUGCUAUCAGUGAAGGCUUCCAUUAAAACACCCUGCAAUCCUUAAAGACAAGAAAUUACUGUGGCACAGCAAGGAUCAAUACAAGCAAGAUAAAUACAGCUUCUGUUAGCCAGAGCUCGUACUUCAUAACACGAAUCUCAAAAUGCGAUGCAAGCUACAAAUCCAGGCUAGUCGUUCUAUAAGGCCAUGCUCUUUCUGUAAUGCAGUGUGUUGUGACUCUAAAGAAUGGGUUUCAACUCAUGCUGGAGUUGAAUUGUUUUAAGGAGUGAUGCUGCUGAUAAGGUUGCAUCACUCCUCCCCUGCCCUUGGCAACUUGCUCCUUGCCAUGUCUGUCAUCCAGCAUCCAGUGUAGCAUCCAGGGGGACUCAGCAGGAACUGAUUCAGUUUCAAACCAGUCUGGGUUUGGUUCCAUCCCACUUGAAGUUUCCAGCCUGACCCGCUGUGUGGUGACACUAGCAUUUGUGGUGGCACAAAAGAAGAUGCAAUGAAGAGAAAGAAGAUGAGCAAUAUAUCUAUGCUAGCUGCCCUGCUGGGGGAUGCAAUUUUAAACUACAUCCAAAUCCCCUAGCUUUAGCUGUAAAACUUGUAUACAUUGUCUCAUCAACCAUCCAUACAGUGUGUGCAGAGAAACACUUCUAUCCCACUGAAGAGAUGCCCACCUCUCACCAUGGACUUUUUGAGAGCCUACAUGAUUAGCUUAGGCUGAGAGCCCAAUUUUUAACUGCUGUUGUAAACAAGAUGAUAUAAAUCCCAUGUCCUUGAGCAAUAUAGAGGACUUCAACAUUAUUGUGAGACAUGGGGCCACCUCAGAAAGGAGGGUGCACUGCAAUGUUCCCUUUUUAGAGAGCCCUGGGGGCUUAAUGUUUGGGGCAGGGGUCCUAUCUUGGCUAGAAAACCAGUGGGCAGACAAGGAAUGCAACAGCCUACUCUGCUUUGCUUCUGAUGCAUUCAGUUCCUGCAGAAUAAGCCUGCGAGUACACACAACUCUCAUGAAAAAUCUGAGCAGUCGGAAGCUGAUGUACUCAGAAGGACAGCAGCUUUUUCUUUGGGGAUAUUAUUUGUCCUUUCAGAACAAAGCUAUAAAGACUCAAAUAAUCCAUCCUUCUCAGGGAAAUUGUCCUUCAUUCUACUCUCAUCAGACGCUCUGGUUGCCAGCACAGGGUUAUUACAGAAACAUUGUCCCUGCUGGGCUCCAAGCUUCCUCUCAGUGCUCCUAGGUUAGAAAAAGGGAACCAGUACUGGAAGGCUGCCAUCCUCUGAGCCUUGUUUCAUGAAUGCUGGGACUUAAGGCUCCUUCAUGGACCGACCAAGCUCCAUGCUGCAGAGCUGGCAUGUUCUUCUCGGCGCAUACCAAUGCACCAACUGGCUGACUGUCAGAGAACUUCACAGCUCUGACCUUCAAACUUCUUGGACUAAUCUUGUCCAUAACCAGUCCUCACCUACUUGUCUUUGUGCUGGCAUUGUCCUCUGGUUUACACAUGAUUUUCCCUCGCAACUAUUAAGGCACUGCUGUGUUUGUGUAGGAUGUCCCCCUGCCUCCCAUUUUUUCUCUCCUGGGCUAAGCAAGCUGAACUGCUGCAGUCUCACUUUGCCUGACAGGACCACUGCUCCUCAACAAACUCUCUGUGCCAUGGUUUUGUGCAUGCUUGAGAUUGAACUAAUCUUCCUUUAACAAAGCAGACAAAAAGAAGCUGCUCAGUGACUCCUGCAAAUUCUGCAGGUGAUUUCUUACCUGGAGAAGACUAAAUAAUAGCUCAAAGGCACCAGAUUGUUUGGGUUUUUUUCCUCUUUUCUUCUUCCCCCUAAUAAGCGAGAGUGGAUGGCCUAUAUCAUUCUGAGGGCUGGAGGCUUCUGUCUCAGGGUGUCUGAUCAAUGCCAAGACUACGUGUUUAUCAGAAUCAGUAGAGCACCCCAGAGUGGAUGUAUUAGAGAGGUAUAUUCUUAAGUCAGUCACCCUGGGGAACUACAGGCCCAUCUCUGUGCCUGAGAAUGUCAUGGAGCAGUUCCUCCAGCAAGAGAUGCUGAGGCACACAUGAGAUGAGGUGAUCCAAGACAUCCAGCAUGGCUUGACCAAGAGCAGUCCAUGCCUGACCCACUGGGACUGGAACUAUGUGAUCUUUAAGGUCCCUUCCAGUCUAAGCCAUUCUAUGAUUGUAUGAUUCUAUGUGCUACACAACAGGGUCUCCUUCUCCCCAGGCCAUAUUGAGGGAGACUGAGCAGCGAAGUCAGAUGGAGAGGCCACAUUGACUCUAUUUUGCCUUUGCUGCUUGUUUCAGAAAGGAAAGAGGAAUAUCUGCUGUGACUCACAUAUGCCUGGGAAAUCUGCACGAGCAAAUGUGCAGCUACAAACAUGGGCUUCUCUCCUAGCCAGCAACUUAACCUGGCAGGGGUCCUAGUCCCACUCCAGCAAUUUUUCUGCUCAUAAAUAUAUCUGAAUUGACAUCUGUGCAGACAUGGGGCUUCUGCUGGGAAUUGUCUCUCUCAAUCCCCAUGGUGCAGGAUGAUGAGAGGAAACCUGAAAAGUGAACCCUGCUUAUGCUCUCUCACUUCCCCUCAAACGCUGCUGAAGACUUGCUGCAAAAUCCACAGGAAAAAGCAAAGUCGCUAUUUCAGCUUCAUCAGUACUGUUAGCAGAGCACAGAGAUCUGUCUGAGCGCUUCCUGGAUGAGACUGUCCUAAAGCCUGGAUGGCAACGGGUACCUCAGCAUCCUCCUGAAGAAAAGACAUUCACUCAUGUUGGCGUAAGCAAGUGACCAAUGGAGAAACUGGAUGCCAUCAAGUCAUGAGGAUAAUGCAAACCCUGUUGUUCUGGUGCAAGGACAGCCUGAACAGGUCCAUGACUGUACCACCCAUACUGACUGGGUCAGCCUCAGGAUGCUGCAGACCAGCAGCUUUCUGAUAUGAUCUGAAAGUCACCUCAGCUGUGUGCUGGUUAUGACUAACGUAUCAUGUAGAUUCAGUCACUGUGUCUCCUAUCACUAAGACUUCUUCCCCUCUGGCCACCAAACUUUGUUCCUGAUCUCUGCAUCAUUUCAGAUACAUUUUCUUGUCCUGUCUCUGUUUGUCCAGUUUCAAAAUUAAGUUAGUAAUCUCAAACUAUAUGUUGGGUUUCUUGAGAAAAAACGUGCAGGAAAAUGCUUUGCAAAUGGUUAAAAUUAUUUCUACUUUUGCCAUCCAUCCCCCCUGUUCAGUGCCCCUUCUACAGUUCAGCCUAAAUGUUUCAAGGUACUUCCUUCUUAUCUGCAUAUGAAAAGCAGUCAGCAGCUCUGAAGGGCUUGUUUAGAAAUUCUAACUGCAGCUAUCUAUUAGGUUUUCACUUGCUCUAUUCAAAUCUUUGUUCACAUCUAAGGAAUGAAAGCUCCAUAAUGAGAAUGAUCAUGGGAGUCCAUGAUACUCCUGAGAGCAGGAAGAAGAGGUUUUCUUGAUGGCAGGUUGGUGGGAGAUGAGUGAUGAAGAAUGAUGGGACCUGGACAGGCUGCCCCAAUGACUGUCUGUUAGCUAUGGCUCUCUGCACCCCUCACACACUGUCAGGGUCUGUUCCCCUUCUACUUGCACGUGAAAAACUUCAGAAGAACCACCAAUCACUUCAGGAAUCCUAAGAAAUAAGACCGGAGACUCAAGAUUUUCCACACAGCUUCUCUGAGGAAGCUUCUCACUGGAGGAAUGGCAGGAACUCCUAUCACUCACCAAAGGAGAAGUCGGAACUGACAACGUGCUGUCAUCAGGAGCUGCCCUGCUGAGUCAUGGAUGGAUGCUUCAGCAGUGAGAUAUGGAGGUAUUGGGCCAUGUGUGUGUUUUACAUGGCAGAAGUGGUGUCAGGAUAUUCCACCAGACACUGAUGGUGUGGAAGGAUGCUGAGCUGCUGGAGGACCUGACUUGUUCUCUGCUUUAUGUCUGGAGGGCACAAGUGGGAAUUGGACUUCUUGGCACCCUGUGGCUACCAUGUCCUCAUCUGCAGCCAGCCUGGAGGCAGGAAGCAGGGCUUAGGAGCACGAUGGACACGGCAUGAGGGAUUUCAAGACCCUGGAGAAUUUUAAAGCCAAUACGUCGAAGAGUAUGCAAGACAGAAUGGGAUUCCUCAAGUUCUGAGAAGAAAUGGAGAUGCUUUCAGAAAGGAGACAUCUAUCCUAGAAACAAGCAGUAGCUGAGCAGUGAGAAUGGUCUCAGCCCUCCAAAAGCGAUGCUUUUUGGCACAGCUGUGGGGGAAUCAGUACAGACUCUCCUCUCCUUUCCAGUGUCUCUGGUCAACCCUAGACUGGUAUCCUUCUCAACAGACCGUAACUUUCAUGGUUCCUGCUGGUCUAUGAAAAGAGGCAGGGGGCUUGCUCUGGAAAAUAUGUGCAAGAAGGAAAAAAACUAUGUUCCCAUCCUUCAGCCCACAGCCCUCCCCAAUGCCCCAGUAAGAGCCAUCCUUAGAAUCACAGAAUUCUAGAAUGAUUUGGGUUGGAAGGGACCUCAAGGGUCAUCAAGUUCCAACCUCCAGGUACGGGCAGGACUGCCUACCACUAGAUCAUGUACUAGAUCAGGCUGCCCAGUUCCCCAUCCAACCUGGCCUUAAACACCUCCAGGGAUGGGGCAUCCGCAGUCUCUCUGGGCAGCUGUUCCAGCACCUCACCACUCUCUCCGUAAAAAACUUCCCGAUACCUAAUCUAAAUCUUCCUUCCUUUAGUAUAAAACCAUUCCCCUUUGUCCUAUCACUACCUACCCACGUCCUUUUGAGAUUCCUGCCUCUUGCUUCCCCUGCAAUUUUUGUUUAUGGAGAACAAUAGCAAACUUUGGACUCCACAAACUUCCCCAGCCUACAGAAGAGGUAUGCCAGAACCUGGUUCCAAAACUAAGCUGCGUCACAGCCAUGACACCCUGGCAUGUGGGAAAUUGCUAAGCCCUAUGUCUCCUUGAAUGCCCCCAAAGUAGCUGAGCAAUUAGAAAUACAUUCCAGCUGAAGCAGUACCCUUCAGGUACGUGCCAGAGACAAACCACUCCUUCUCUGGAAUGGUUCCAAUUUCUCAGAUCUGGGCUUCACCAUGAAAACUUCUUAGCACCCCCUUCAAUACCUGCUGUGCCAACCUACGAAAGCACAGUCCCUCCACUUGGGAGCACUCUCCUUCUCACUAGCCCAAGGCUUCCAGCAGCCCACACAGCAUACUGGCACACUGCAAGGAAAAGAAGCAGAAUGACAGCCGCAUCCUGUUGGUGAUCUCAGCUCUGAAAUAGUCUGGGGCAACAAAGUGAUGCUGUAAGCUGUGAAACCUAACGUUCCUGCUGUCCCGUGCCAGGAACUGGCCUCCAGGUUACUGUCAAGUCAGAAGGAAGAAAACAUUUGGUGUAUCCCCACUUAGGAACUGUGGUUCCCAUCCUCAUCCUGUGACUUCUAGACAGUACCACAAUGUGAAACAAUCACAGCCAUGGGCCCAUGCACCGUCAACAGAUGGAGAUUAAUCUGCUUCAAAGAGCAGGAAGAGUCAAUAAAUGAGCUUAAGUUUGUCUCUCAAAGACUGUCUGCAAUUACAUUUAUGGCAUUCGUCGUUUGAAGCCCCCCCAACUGUCCACCGUUUUGUACUGGCUGCUGAAGAGUGAACUGAAACUCCUGGGAUCAAUUUUCCUAUGAGUGAGUAUUAAACCUGGAAAGCAAACCUGGAAAGCAAAUCUAGGGCUUGUGUCUCCAAAGACACUUCUCAGAUGAUGAGCCAGUGUUCCUUCCACAGGCAUUAAGAAAAUAAACUGUAUAUAAUACACUGGCUUUACUGUAACAGUCCAUAUUUGGCAUACCCAAGCUCUUCACCUGCUGAAAUCUGACUAUGGGACUUGGUUGUUCUGAGGAAACAGGAGAGAUCAGAAUUACAGAUUCCGCUGCUGAGUCCUCCAUAUGCCCCCAGGAAUCACAGGCUUUUUUUUCAUAGUACUUCAAUCCCUUAUUUACAAUCUGCAAACACAUUACAAUUGAUUGGUGGCCUGCUAAAGAAACAGUAUUGCAAAUCCAAAGGGGAUUCCUAAUUUCACUUAAAAGCCCUCUGUGAAGAGAUAACCAGCCUCAGGUGCUCAGUAACACUGUAGUAGAAAAUCAUAAGGUUAUUUUAUACACCAAUUCUUGAUAAUAAAUACAGAAAAAGACAUUCUUCAAAGAGAAGUUUGCAGCAUGCAGCCGAAGCUCCCUGUUUCACAGGUAGCUGGUCUGUGAUUGCCAGCUUUUCACCAGCCUUCAGCUCAGCUUUCAAAGGUACCUGCCAAAAUGUUGCAGAGAGUUGACAGACUCCCUGUGAAAGGGCAUCCGGUAGGCAGGGCUUUUUUCUUCUCCUCUCAGCUAUUGCAAUUUAUUUUGAUAUGCUGCUGGCACACAGCAGAAAGAAGAGAAAUCCAUUCUAGAGCACCACGUUACUGAAAACCAUUGCUAGGCACUGAGCAGAGCGCUGGCCGCGGUUGGGUCUGCAGGACAAGUGGGCAGCAAAAUAAUUUGCUAACCACAGAAGAAUGAAUGGAGCAACAGCUACUGUGCUUUACAUUGCCAUGGAAACAUAAGGUAUCAGCAGUGGCAGGGUGGUCUUUUCUUGUUGAAACAUAACAUUUUGUUUUAACGCUCACUCGGUAAGAAAGAAGAGGUCACCCAACCUGGUGAGCAUCUUCCCUUCCCGCUUCAGUCCCAUCUGUGUCCUCCAGGAAGUACACUUCAUGAGACUGAGUUAAAAACACCAUCAAUAGGUGAUGCAACACGAUCUCUGAACGACAAGUGCCUCUUCACAUGCACUGUUGAGGCUGCCUACAGCAGAAGGUUUGGCUGUUGGUGCAGGAAAUGGGCUCUGUUCAAUAGCCAGCUGUGGGCUUCUUGCACCAGAAAGCUGCAUCUCCUGGCUUGGCAGUGAUGUAUGUGCCCCAUGCCCUCCUUGUGGUCAUUUUUCUGCCACUUACUUAUAAAGCUCACAGAUUAGCUGCCAAUCCUCAUCGCUCACAGACUGGGAGGCAUCAGCUUGAAGAGCCCUGUUCUGAAAGUCCCUCCGCAUUGUGCUUAAUGCUCUAUUGGCAGCCAGUUGAUCAGAAGGCAGAAGGGUUCCAGCCCCUCACCUUGCUUAUUUCAAGGCACCAGCCAGAAGGUGACCCCAGGGGCUGCUCUGGGUUUGCUUAAGCCCAUCCCAUCCCAGGCCUAUGGAGGUGGCAUGCUGCACAGCAGCUGCAGGCACUGCUACGGUUUCAGCGACCUCCUGCUCUCCUCCCUGCCAGAUAUUCGUAGGGCUAUAAAAAAGAGCUGUCCAGACUGCUGAGAAAUGGACGGUCGUGCCUGGAGUCGGCUAAAUAAUUCAGAGUGGAUUGAAAUGCCCUAUUGCGUAAUGGAAUCUUUCUGCAAAGCCGUGCAGCGGUUUCCACAUCCCAAUGAUCCUAUUUUCAAGUCAAUACAAUUAGGUGUCAGAAUAUGCAAUCGCUGAAAUUAAUCUGGAAUCAGAAUGCAAGGGAUCUUUAGCGCACACGCACUGCAAGACACCAUCAAAGUCAUUAGACGUUAUCCAGGAUGAACAUAAAAUGAUUCAUUGGGAUGCUGCAGGCUGUGGCUUUGACAUCUCCCCAUUGAUAUGAUAUGUGUAACAAGUGUUUAAUGAGAAAAAGGACUCAACACACCUAACCCUCAAUUUUCACAUAAUCUAUUCAUGGCGUGUUGCAGAUGCAGGCAUGAAAAAAUGACCCUUAAACUUCUUGUUUUUUCCUGAUUUUAAUGAGUCUGCUGCACAUGAGGAUUGCUAAUGACAGAGGAGGCAGUAAAUUCCACCCUGUAGAUGCUUCAUUGCGUGUUUUGUAGGGGAUCAAUGCUGGGUUAAAACAGAUAUAAGCCAAGACCCCCAGAGAACACAGUGAGGGUAAGAACCUGGGCUAUGGGAAAGAAACACAAGGCUGCCAGGAUGGCAACAGGGGAACAGCUACAACAGCAGGGAACCAGGAGAGUGCUGGAGAGAGAGGAGUCAGAUCCUCCAAACUGCUAAUGACAAAUUAGUUAAUAAAUCUCUUCCCCCAGCACACUCAUCUCUGAUUCAUAUUUAUAUGCCAAUGGACCAGUAGAACUAUUGGUUUCUGAGCUGCUGCUUGCAAAAGGAGCUCAGCCUUCUGUAUGUUGGGUUCUCCAAAAGGAACAGAAGUGUGUGGAAAAGGAGAAUGCACACCAGCAUGUGUACAAGGGGAGGAUAUGGUGCCAGUAAGUAUAAAAACCUUAUUCCAUUUUUUCCCACGUUGUAUCACAUCUGGUGCCUAAGCAAAGCUGGCGGCAUGCUGAACGCUAUAAAUCCACGGAGGUGUCUGCAUAAAGAUUAGUUUGCAUACAGAUAUGUCAUUUACAAAAUACAGAGCCUGUCACAGAUACUCUUCAGCUUGCAGAAAAACCAAGGAAGGUGGAAAGAAUGUGCAAAUGAGGGAAUACAGAGGAUGGGUAGGUCAAGACAUCUCAGGAAGGAAAUGAUCUGAUCCUCACGUUGGCAUGGGACGUUCCACAGCCCUAUCAUUAUCAGCACGCUCUUCUAAGAGUCACACGAACGCCAACUUGCUGUGGUGUUUUGGGCAAACUGACACAGCCAUGAGUCACCCCGAGUGCUUCCCAUGCCCGUCCAGCAGGAGGGCAGCACCACACCGGGGGAGCAGCACGGACACAGUGCUGGGAAAGCUCUGCAGCUGUGAGGGCAGAAAGAGAUGAGAAAGUGGAGCUGCCACCCACCUCCACUGGCUGAGACAGCAGAGCAGCUCGGGAAGAUCUUGGUUGCUAAGUACGAUCUAGAGCUGCAUUGUCCUCUUUUGUGUUUGUAGGAGGUUCCCUUGUAACAAACAUGAAUGCUACUCUGUCAGAAAGAGCGAGCUGCUGCUUUAUUCUUGAGGCUUGUCUUGCAAUAAACCUGUGUGAUGACCCUGAUGACAUCAGGCCCUCCAACUCCAGGUGUUGGCACACCAGGUUACUGUGGGAGCACAGUGGAAUCCCUGCAGGGCUGCAGGAUGAGGUUCUGGCCAUGGACUGGCAGCAGAUGGUGGCACGACACCUCCCUCAGCUCAUGCUAAACUGAGCCCAAGGGAGGAGCAGCCACAAGGCUCAGAUCAUCUUCCCCCCCUUCUUUGCCUCCUCUCACUCUCACAAACCCCACAGUUUCCAAACCCCAAACUCACACAACAGCUAUCUUCCACUGCUCCAACACCAUGGAAUGCACGGUCUGCCUGUGUUUACAACAGCUCAUCCACCUGCAUGUGGCCUGGGAGGAAAAGGUGAUCAUUUUCCAAGGUAGGACUACUUCAAGGACAAUUUUCUCCUUUCUCCACACAAAUAUGUGAGUGCACGAGGUACCAAACACGCUUCAGGACAACGAGAACAGAAGCCCCAUCAGGGAAAUACCACAUUCAGGCUGUAAAUCUUGCCACAUCUACACCAAAUGUCACACGAUAAAACCUAACCGUGGGUAGCUCUUAUUGCUCAGUCACCAGACCCUACACCAACAUCUUUUGCACAUUGCCCACACUGCAGGAUGCUCCGAGGCGAUGCCAGCAGCGCAGUCAUGCUUCAACAGCCACAUCAUGCUGUCUUGUGUACAUGGUUUGAUUUUCUUUCCUGCCUACUGGCACCACUGGAGAACAACUUCGGUGCAAAUUUUAGAGUGGUGCUUCAAGAAAAAAAAGUUUCCUACAGGCAUGAGCUUACAUGAAAGUAGCAAAUUCUAGGAAAAGUCUUUUUUUCGUCCCUGAGAGAUGACUCUGCAGUAGAGUCCCCCACGUUCCUCCUGCUUCAUUGCUCCCUUACCCCCAGUGCUCAGUUCAACUUUUCCUACAAAAGCCUCGCUAUAUUUAACAUUGUUGUAGCACUACCAGGAAAACAAAGAAGUGUUUGAGUUACGAAGCAGCUCAUCAUCUGCUCUACAGAAUCUCUGCUGCUGGAACAGAUUGGUGAAAUACGGAGAGCCCAAUUCAAUUCUGAAACAAUUUUUAGGGUGUGAGGCUGGCAGUGAGAAAAUGAAAUGAAACGAAAUAAAACGAAAUAAAAUGAAAUAAAGACUGCAUCUUUUUUUUUACCUGAAAACUCAACAAUCUUGAUCUGAAUUGAGUUUACUGUUCCUUAAGACAUAC